AAGUCGUAACAAGGUCUCCGUAGGUGAACCUGCGGAGGGAUCAUUAACACGUAUCCACGUAUCAACCAACCGGUAAUUGUAUCUCCCUGGUAAAUGUUGAGCUGUUUAAUCGACUCAUGGUGGGUAUGCACUUCGGUGUAUACGAAUCGGUUAGACUCGGGCUUCGAGCUCAAGGCGCGACGCUUUAUCAGGCUUUCUUUCCCAUCAUGCCUUUCUACCUUAAGGCACGCUGUGGAUUUAACAAACCUAUUUCACCCUAACUAUAAACAUUUGACUAAUACUAUUCACUUGGAGAAAUCCAAGCCUGAAUUGAGUUAUCUUAACUAAGCACAACUCUUAGCAAUGGAUAUCUUGGUUCUC
Molecule: unclassified non-coding RNA, 360 nt
Filed under: fungal sp.
Lineage: Eukaryota; Fungi
Description: partial internal transcribed spacer region
Rfam family: Eukaryotic small subunit ribosomal RNA (bases 1-46)
Source: RNAcentral